GACGAACGCUGGCGGCGUGCUUAACACAUGCAAGUCGAACGGAAAGGCCCUGCUUUUGUGGGGUGCUCGAGUGGCGAACGGGUGCGUAACACGUGAGUAACCUGCCCUUGACUUUGGGAUAACUUCAGGAAACUGGGGCUAAUACCGGAUAGGAGCUCCUGCUGCAUGGUGGGGGUUGGAAAGUUUCGGCGGUUGGGGAUGGACUCGCGGCUUAUCAGCUUGUUGGUGGGGUAGUGGCUUACCAAGGCUUUGACGGGUAGCCGGCCUGAGAGGGUGACCGGCCACAUUGGGACUGAGAUACGGCCCAGACUCCUACGGGAGGCAGCAGUGGGGAAUAUUGCACAAUGGGCGGAAGCCUGAUGCAGCAACGCCGCGUGCGGGAUGACGGCUUUCGGGUUGUAAACGGCUUUCGCCUGUGACGAAGCGUGAGUGACGGUAAUGGGUAAAGAAGCACCGGCUAACUACGU
This 467-nucleotide ribosomal RNA is filed under the name uncultured bacterium. RNAcentral describes it as "partial 16S ribosomal RNA". It matches the Rfam family "Bacterial small subunit ribosomal RNA", at positions 28 to 506 of the family's 1533-position model. The record is from RNAcentral.